This 253-nucleotide ribosomal RNA is filed under the name uncultured bacterium. Its description in RNAcentral is "partial 16S ribosomal RNA". It matches the Rfam family "Bacterial small subunit ribosomal RNA", at positions 524 to 776 of the family's 1533-position model. The record is from RNAcentral.
UACGGGGGGGGCAAGCGUUGUUCGGAAUUACUGGGCGUAAAGGGCUCGUAGGCGGCCAACUAAGUCGGAUGUGAAAUCCCCAGGCUUAACCUGGGAACUGCAUCCGAUACUGGAUGGCUUGAAUCCGGGAGAGGGAUGCGGAGUUCCAGGUGUAGCGGUGAAAUGCGUAGAUAUCUGGAGGAACACCGGUGGCGAAGGCGGCAUCCUGGACCGGCAUUGACGCUGAGGAGCGAAAGCCAGGGGAGCAAACGGG